CCCUAGCCCCGAUUGAAACGAAAAUCCUUGUUGUCUUUUGUUUAAAAACAACAAGAUUGCAGUGCAAAGCGGGAAAUAGC
This 80-nucleotide small RNA is filed under the name Flavobacterium sinopsychrotolerans. RNAcentral's name for it is "Flavo-1 RNA". It matches the Rfam family "Flavo-1 RNA". Lineage: Bacteria; Pseudomonadati; Bacteroidota; Flavobacteriia; Flavobacteriales; Flavobacteriaceae. The record is from RNAcentral.